UCUAAGAUGGUAUAUAACCACGCUGUACAACUCACUUCUUUGGAGUGCUUCCUUCCCUGGUGAAGGUCAUUCUCUCAGGCUAUGGUCCUCAGACUGGCUCAUAUAACAAACUCACCCCAAUUUUGAUUUAUAGAUUUAUUAUUGAUUAUUUGUAAUGACAUUUCCCUUCUCUU
Ceratotherium simum simum (southern white rhinoceros) is the source of this 173-nucleotide non-coding RNA. The record is from RefSeq and is a predicted model, not a curated record. Lineage: Eukaryota; Metazoa; Chordata; Mammalia; Perissodactyla; Rhinocerotidae.